CUUGCUCUUCACACAGAAUCUGCUAAGCACUAGGUGGCACGGUUGAGCAACCAUUAAAAACUAUUUCCGUCAAGGCCCAGGAGAAAAGGAAAUUGAAUUGGAAGUUGGAGGAGUGAGGGUUAGUGGCAGAGAAGGCCGAUCGGUCCCUGGAAUUCAACCUGCUCACAGCCUCCAUAAGCACGGGUAUGCUGUGCUCUAAGCCGAUAGGGCUGCGUGCAGAGGAGGCGCCCUCAAGAGCAGAUACCGCCAAGCCAGUGAGGAGGAGCCUGCUGGAGAAGGCUGGGAAUCCCUUCCCACCAUCCUAUCAGAACCCUCUGGUUGUCGCUUGCUUCCUCCUCUCAACCAUGUCGCCCUGUUCACCCAGAGCAGAAAUGCUGGCAGCUGUCAUGGACAAGUGAGAUGAGGCACACGUCUCCAGGAUGACCCACGGGCUUCUCUGCCUGUCGCUGCCAUUUUCAACCCUCUUCCCCUCCCCGCUCUGUUUUCCUGUCUUCCUCUCUCCCUCCCUCCUUCUUCUUCUCUCCCCACCCCACUCUCUUCGAAGGAGAAUUAUAUUCAGCUCUGUGGGUUGUUUUUAAUGCAUUCCAGAUGCCAGAAGAAAUCUUGGCCUGGGCUCAGCGUUCUUCUGACUUCAGGCCUCUCCCCCACCUACCUCCCUGUCUGACUCCCAAGGCCACACAAGGAAAAAUCAGCUCCUGGUGUUUGGUGACACAGAAGGAGCAAGCAGGGCAGAUCGAAGGCAUAAGUGAAAUCCUGUGGUUUCUGAACAGGCCAAGAUUCACUUGAAUAAGAAAUGAAAAACCGAGAAGAUCGUUGAAGAGCACAGGUGCUUCUCUAGAAGGACUAAAACCUAGAAAUUAAUUCAAUUGCCAUUUUGAGGGGAGAAGAGAAGAAGAACGGCUACUCCUCUGAGUCAACGUCAUGCAUAGGUUGGGCCGCUGUUGUUACUAUACCAAGAAUGACUGAGGCUGAGUACUUAAAAGAAAAAACUUUGGAGACUAGAAAUCCAAACAGCAUGGCAUCUUCUCAGAUGAGAGAAUCCCUUGUCUUCAUCACCUCAUGGGGAAAAACAUGCAAAAGAAAGAGACACACAGGAAGCCAGAGCGAAGGAGAGACCAGCCUGAGGACCGCCUAAGUAUCACUUUUAGAUAUCUCAACAUGCCACCCACCCAUCACCACACCAAGAACCCAGCUUCUAGCACAUGGACCUUUGGGCAAGCCACACCCAACACCAUACCAACAUUCAGUGCAAGUUAGUUCUCAGGAUGGACGAGGGGAUAGUAAGACAUUACUUGGUCCCACACCUUUUAUUCUCUUGUUAGAAUAAAUGUGUCCCAUCAUGUAGGAGAAACAGCCCCGUGUCAAUUUCUUUACCAGGACUAGUAGUUAUUCCAACACGUCUGGGAAUAUUGGUCUGAGAGACAUGGUCACUGGUGAGUCUCUGAGUGGGGUGGGAGCUUGAGCAGGGGGCCAAGUAGGAUAGUGUCUUACUUAGGGUCGCUAUUGCUGUGAUGAAACACUAUUACCAAAACCAAGUUGUGGAAGAAAGGGUUUAUUUGGUUUACACUUUCCACAACACUGUGCAUCACCAAAAGAAGCCAGAACAGGACCUCAAACAGGGCAGGAACCUAAGAGCAGGACCUGACACAGAAGCCAUGGAGGAGUGCUGUCUACU
This is a long non-coding RNA of Mus musculus (house mouse), 1675 nucleotides long. RefSeq annotates it as trans-golgi network vesicle protein 23B, opposite strand. The record is from RefSeq and is a predicted model, not a curated record. The transcript is spliced from 3 exons. NCBI's taxonomy places the organism in Eukaryota, Metazoa, Chordata, Mammalia, Rodentia, Muridae.